This is a non-coding RNA of Macaca mulatta (Rhesus monkey), 1022 nucleotides long. Lineage: Eukaryota; Metazoa; Chordata; Mammalia; Primates; Cercopithecidae. The record is from RefSeq and is a predicted model, not a curated record.
UUACCCCAAAAUGUAUUGACUUAAAGUAACAAAACUUUAUUAUUUCAUAGUUUCUGUGGGUCAGGAACCAAGGAAAAUAUUUGUUGGAUGCCUCUGCCUUAGUGUCUCUUCAAGGCCGCAGUCAAGGUGUUGGCUGGUGCUGCAGUUUCAUCUGAAGACUCAACUGGGAAAAGAUCUGUUGUCAAGCUCAUUUUAUGGUUAGUUGUAAAUUUGUGAAAUAGCACAAAGCCAAGUUGAAGACAAUAUCUUCCCUAAUAAUGGUAGUGCAAUGAGAGCCAGUCAGAAAAGCUCUCCACCUUGGCAGCAAUGAGACUAAGACUUUUAUGCCUGAAUUGCUAUCUUUCUUUUCCAGGUGAGUUGUGGGCUGUGAGGCUAGAAGAGUGCAGGACCACGUUAAGCAAAGAUAAAACAUUUGGUGAGUAUGUUCCCUCCUAUGCCUACCCAGAUCAAUUCCUAUGUGAAGGGGUUCAGAGAUAGAAUGAUAAUGGUAUGUUUUUUGGUAUUUUCUGAUUACAUCUAGCAAAGUAUAGAACCAAGAGGUGAGCUCAGGCUGGAAUUGGCUUGUUUGCAAUUAAAACUUAAAGAAGAGGUAAUCCAAAAAUGUGGAGGUUUUUGGGUUGGAAAAGUCAACUGCUUCUAGUCUCUAAGCACAGAAAGAUAAGACUCAAGGAAUGUUUUCUGCAUGAAUGAUCCAUUAACCCUUAGUUAUGACACAAAUUUCAAGUGUGAGUUCUAUCCAAGCCUACUUUCCUCAGUGUAUUGCCAUUAUGUUGAAAGAAGAGAGGAAUAAUGAGUGGGUAGGGUACAAAAUAACAUAUCAGGCUUGAAAAUUAUGACUGUUAAUGACUUAUGACUUUAAAAAUAUUUCAGUGUUUUAAAGCAAAUGAAAUUCACUAGAAGUAAAUAGAUCAGACCUACUAAUUUUUUAAUAUGAUGCACAGCUGAAGAAAUCCCAAGUCAGAAUUUAAAAGCUUUUAACUGGGCUGGGCCUGGUGGCUCACAUCGGUAAUCCCAGCCCUUUG